Molecule: ribosomal RNA, 612 nt
Filed under: uncultured organism
Description: bacterial SSU rRNA
Rfam family: Bacterial small subunit ribosomal RNA
Source: RNAcentral
UGUGCUCAGCGUGACGCAUUAAGUGCUCCGCCUGGGGAGUACGGUCGCAAGACUAAAACUGCAAAGGAAUUGACGGGGGCCCGCACAAGCGGUGGAUCAUGUGGUGUUAAUUCGAAGCAACGCGAAUAACCUUACCUGGGCUUGAAAUCCUGCGAACCUGCUAGAGAUAGCGGGGUGCCCGUUUAGGGAAUGCAGAGACAGGCGCUGCAUGGCUGUCGUCAGCUCGUGUCGUGAGAUGUUGGGUUAAGUCUCGCAACGAGCGCAACCCCUGUUGCUAGUUGCCAGCAUUAAGUUGGGCACUCUAGUGAGACAGCCUGGGUUAACCAGGAGGAAGGUGGGGAUGACGUCAAGUCCUCAUGGCCCUUAUGUCCAGGGCUACACACGUGAUACAAUGGUCGGUACAGAGGGAUGCCAACCCGCGAGGGGGAGCAAAUCUCAAAAAGCCGAUCUCAGUCCGGAUUGGAGUCUGCAACUCGACUCCAUGAAGUUGGAAUCGCUAGUAAUCGCGGAUCAGCAUGCCGCGGUGAUACGUUCCCGGGCAUUGUACACACCGCCCGUCACACCAUGGGAGUUAGCUCAACCUGAAGUCGUGACCCCAACCCUUUUGGGAGG